UUUAUGAAUAUCUUAGAUAUAAGGUAAGAUAUCCAUUAAAAAUUAUUGCAAGUAGGAACAUAUUUAAUUUGAAGAAUUGGUAGUUAUAGAUCAAGUUCAUGUUAAAUUUUGAAUAUCCCGAUUUUCAGGGAUUAAGGGCCUUUGGACAUGUUGGAACCAACAGCUGAUAGUGGAAUUUUUGUCAUACCUGUUCUGAUUUUUUUAUUUACAAAUGUACAUUAGAAUAAAAAAAGUGCAUCAAUACCGUUAAUUUAAGUAAACACAUAUCAUAAAGAAGAUUUUUAUAAAUUUUUUUGUGCAACACUUAUGUACUUAAAAUUUAAAUACAUCAAAUUAAGCUGGAUUUUUUGUUGUUGGAAAGUAACAUGGUAUUAAGGAAAAUAUAAGUGAAGUUUCAGUUUUAUACAUGUUGCAAAUGUGAUAAAAUUAACUUCCGUCAGAAAGCGUGUUAAGACAAAUAAUCCAUGGAUAUUUACUGAAGAGAAUAUAUAAAAUUGGAAAAAAUGAAUUCAAUAAAUACUAUAAUUGAUAAUUACAUUUUUUAAAUGUAUAGAAGACUUGAAGUAGAAAUUUAAAAAAGAAAUGGCAUUUAUAACAAUUCCUACUUCCAAUUUGAGCUAGCAAGCUUUUUGUGAGACAACUAGUAAGGUAUAAAAUUGUUGAAUCAAUACAAUACAAUAAUAAUUUAUUAACGUCUCGCAUCAAUAAUACAGUAUACACAUUUAAAUAUUACAUAUAAAAGAACCUUUAAAACUUAAAUGCCAUCUAAAGAAUCUGAGAGACGGAUUAAAAGGAACUAGUAUUUACAAUUUUCAAAAGCUUUAUAAAACAAAUGUAAAUCAUAAAACUAUAACAUCAAUUAUCGUAAAAAAAGUCUCUACGUUGAAUAAGCUUGCGGCUUUACAUUUUGUAUCACAUUAUAUUAUCACUCGUAAAAUAAUGAAUUUCAAUGAAUUUAGACUAAAAUUUUCGUUUUCAAAGUUUAAAAUCUUAUACAGUUCGUCUCUAAGAUCAUCGUACAACAGACAUUCAGUCAAUACAGACUCCCCUGUUUCAAUGUGAUCGUCACAAACAAAACAAGUUCUUUGAUCUAUUGGAAGAUUCUCGUAACGUCCUGUCUCCACACUUAUUGGGGCAACACCACAGCAAAACUGAGAGUAAGCUCUUCCGUGUGAUGGUAUAAUAAGUUUAUCUAAGUAAAGUUCUGUAUAUACAUCCUGUUUAAAUGUUCUAUAUGUACGUAAUUUGUUACCUCCUGGUCCAUUUGAUAUUAUAUAAAAUCCAUAAAUGAAACUAAUUAAUGCUUGUGGUUUUCAUUUCAGUUGAUUACAAUGGCAGUUGUAAUGAGUCAGUGUGGAGCUGUGGCCAUGCUGUACAAGUUAUUCCUGUCUAGAAGCCUGUAUUGGGAAAUAUCUGCUUUAUCAAGUUCUCUCCCCUUACAUGUCAGAAUGGAUAAAACAUUAGGAUACAAAUUAUACUCAUGACAGAACAACAUGGAUAAUUAACUUUGUCCAAAACUGUGUUCAGAAGAUGUGAAGGGACCAAUAUGGUCAUUAUAUAUGAAAAUAUUACUUUGUUUAACUGAUCUUCAGUGGCAUUGAAAGUUCAGAAUGUCCCAGCAGAAAGUAUGUAGGACACAUCCAAGAUAUAUCAUCAGCACAGAGGGUCAUACCAAAGGAUUUGAUUCUGUCUGGAAAUGGACAGUAUUGACACUUUAGGCUUUAUUUAAACAUGUUAAAUGGGUAUUUUUAUAAUUUCUUUCCAUCCACACAUAUUCUGGAAGAAAAACAUAUGAAAUUGUUUUUUACAUAUUCAUCAUAUUUUAUAUAAAUGUAGAUUUUCUAAAAAAUGGGAAUGAUGAAAUAGAGUUUCAAAUGGCCCAAAUGUCUGUGUGAGCAAUUGCUAUUGUUUGGUUUCUGUUGUCGUCCUCUGUCAUUCAUGAAACUUACAAAAAUCUUCUGUUCUGAAACUAAUGGGCCAAUUAGGGUAUCUAGUGUAAAAACAUGUGUCUGGUAAUUCUGCUUGCAACCAACGUGGCCACCAAAACCAAAAACUGCCGGACUUCUCCUUUUAUAUAUAUCAAUAGCAAAAAUGAUCAGCAAGACAAGAUCUACUUGCCUGCAUGGGAACUUGACCGCGGCUUCCCACCACGCUUUUCUCCAGCAUGGGGAAAUUUCAACCAAUAACUUGAUCUCUCUGCCCCGUACCUCAAGAAACCCACAAUAGCCCGCAUGGGAACUAGUCUGUGGCUUCCCACUUCAUGUGGAAAACAGCAGAAAUCCUCAGUCUCCUUAUAGUAGGCAUUGCCCUUAAAAAUUUUGAUUGACAUUUUAGAUUUGUGGUUAAAACUAUGUUACAGAAAAAGUGUAAACAACAAAAAUGAUCAGCCAAAAAUACUUUUAUUCGUGCAUUAUAUUCUGGAAUAACAUUGUAGAGUGCAUGGCCAUUGUUAAAGAUGCAUAUAGGUGAUUGACACAAGCUCUUAGAUACUCUAUUUUUGUAUGGGAUUCUUUUUAUUAUUGUUUUGUGUUGGUUUAUUUUGGGGAGGGAUGUAUUUGAUUAAGUUAUGUUAAACAUUAGUAUACUCCAAUUUAAUGUUAUAUUUACUGUGGCAAUUGUGUGAACUGAGCAGAUUAUUUUAAGUGAGAAUGUUACAUAUCAUAUACAAAUUUGCUCAUUAAAUGGUUAUGUAUUCAAUGUAUGAAUGAUUUAUGAAACAUUUAUGAAGGGUAAGUUGUCUUUAAAUUGUUGUGAUUGAUAAUACAAACUUUUGUAGCUAUGUAAUCUCCCACUAGGUGCACAUUACCUUUAUCAGUAGCAGUUAUACUAGUCCUAAGCUAGUGAAAGGUAGAACUGAAUAAAUGUGCUACAUUCAUAAGACAAAAGUAAUUUAUUUAUUCCCUCCAUAUAUACUACAUUGCAUUUUUUUUCCUUCCUCUAAAUUCAAAGUUCUUGUACUUCAUCCAACCAAUUUGUGAUUGAAUUUCUUAUAUUGAGCAUGGAAUUUGCCUAUAUAUCUGCAUAUAUAUGAUAAAGAAGAUAAAAACGGGUGUAAUUUUGGAGAAAAAUGGUAGAAUAUCUCUUUUUGUUUCAUUACAAAUUAAAUGUGAAGGUAUAGCUUUUUAUUUUCUUAUGCUUAUUUGAACACAAAUUAUAAUUUUAUCAAUUUCAAUUUUUGUUAAAACUAGAUACAGAUCUUGAUUACCUAUAAAUGCAAGAUUCAUUUGUGAUGGCAAAUUAUGAAUAGCAAUAAAGUGUCUUUGAACCAGUCAUAGAAUGAAAAAUUAAAACAUUUUGUAAAAAUUUCUUGUCCAUAGACUGGUCUGACAAAUUGUAUUGGCUGUAGCUACUGUAAAACAUUUAAGCAGAACUUGUAUGAGUACCACAUUACUUAUGGUUUUUAUGCCCCACCUACGAUAGUAGAGGGGCAUUAUGUUUUCUGGUCUGUGCUCCGUUCGUCCGUCUGUGCC
RNAcentral lists this long non-coding RNA (3470 nucleotides) under Mytilus galloprovincialis (Mediterranean mussel). The record is from RNAcentral. Lineage: Eukaryota; Metazoa; Mollusca; Bivalvia; Mytilida; Mytilidae.